UCUUGAGAAGGUUUUCAUGUUGAAGCCAAUGAUUUGUAAUUACCUCCUCACGUGUCUUCUUUCUUCCCGAGCUUAUAAGGAGUGUGCUGUUGAUCUUAUUGGUGGGAUGGAAUCUUUGGGAUACCGUUUAAAUUCAGAAGAAUUUGCAACGACAUUGGCACUUUUAACACCAAUACUGAAAAGGAAAGAGAGGAAAAAUAACACUCAGAAAAGAUUAAAUUACACUGAUUGAAUUAGAUGACCGAGUUUCUUUAUGUGGUUCUUCAAUGAAUAUCCCCAGUUACGAAAAUGGUUGUGAAUCAAGAGACCACUACACUUUUUGAUGAACCAAAGGUGCCCUUUAUCCCUUCUGUAUAUGUUUUUUCUUGAAGCAGUCCUUAUGGGUAUAUUAAAUUUCAAAUAAUGUGUUUCCAGAGUUAUUGUAGAAUAGUACAAGGACCGAUUGAGAGGUAUAUCCUUGCAUGCUUCCUUUUAGAAUUUUACUUCAAACCAAGAAAUCACCCCCUAUUUCAAUUAGUAUCCCGUAUCCAAGUUCUGCAGUUUUAGGAUGGUGUUAUUUAUGUCGAUAAAUGACUUGAAUUCUCUUUACGAUGAAAAAUAGGAAAAGCAGGUGUUUUGUUUAACGCCUCCUAUUUUAUUUGCCUUUAUUUUUGUUCAUUUUGCAGCUAAAAUAUAUAAGCACUUACAACUUUUGAUCAAAUUAGGAACUUUGCAAAAGGCAAAAUAAUUGCACUGCUUUUGGACUAUGAUGGAACUUUUUCACCAAUUGUGGUUAAUCCUUACUGUGCUUUCAUGUCGGACAAUAUGUGUGCUGCUGUUAAAAAGGCCGCAGAGUAUUUUCCAACAACAAUAACUUGUCUAAGAAGUCAUGACAAGGUGCCGAUUGAAUUAAGCAGUACAAGAUAAAUGUUUAGGUACAUCAGUAGAGGAGUGUAUACCAGUGCUAGGAUUAGAACUAGAAUUAAAACAAGAGGCGGGACUGGCUUGAGCUGAUGGAUUGGAAGGAACUUGAGAUUUGGAAACUCAUAGAGGCCAUGUCUGCCAACUUGACCAUGACACUCAUGAGGUAUAGCAGGUUGAAACUGUUGAUUGAACCUAUGGUAACAAUAGGAUGCAAUGUGCCCAAACUCAAAACAGACCUGACACUGAAUAUUGCCAAAACGUCCUCCUCCACGACCACGACCUGAAUUAGGAUAACCAGAACCUGAAGGAGUAGAUUCAGAAGAGUGAGGCACAAUUUGGGAUACAGACAUGUCACCAGCAGAAGGUGCAGGCGUGAGAUUAACCGACACUGAAUCAGUGCUUGCAGCUUUCUUUAACUUUUGAAGAUGCGUUUCGUGAGCCAGACGUAUUGUUUUUCAAAUAUAUAUGAGUUUGAGGAGGUGAUUUUUCAGUCAUUGAGAUGAUUUAGAGGGUCAAUGAGGGUGGAUUUUAUUGAGAGGAGAGUGCUGAGUUGUUGUGGCAAAGAAAACUAGUGGUGGUAACUGUGUUUGGGAAAAGAAGGAGAAUGUGAAGAGAAAGGAAAAGGUUUCAUUGUUAAGAAAUAAGGAAGUUGGGUGGUGUUGAAAUUUGGGGCCAAACUCAUCCUUACAAAACCGAUUUGUAAGGUGAGGAGUGCCUCCUCUUUAUAAACUCUUCUCAAGAGUCCUAUCUAUCUGAUGUGGGACUAAAUCCACCCCCUCAAAGCCAACACAAUGAAGGUGUUGGAGGCUGCAAUGAAGGCCAACCAAAGGUCGCAAUUUAGGCGACUAGGGACGGACCUCAAUUAAGGCAGAAUUUCCAACAGGUGGGAACACAGUAAGAGAUUAAGAUGCAAUAUAUAUCUGACAUUGGAAGAGAAGGAGCAAAUAAUAAAGGAGAGAAAAAGUAAUGCUAGUCUCUAGUAACUUGGUUUAUAAACUCUUAUUUAGAUUUUUCUCUUUAUAUUUUACAUUUGAAUU
Medicago truncatula (barrel medic) is the source of this 1940-nucleotide long non-coding RNA. RefSeq lists it as uncharacterized. The transcript has 3 exons. The record is from RefSeq and is a predicted model, not a curated record. NCBI's taxonomy places the organism in Eukaryota, Viridiplantae, Streptophyta, Magnoliopsida, Fabales, Fabaceae.